Molecule: ribosomal RNA, 154 nt
Filed under: Glycine max (soybean)
Lineage: Eukaryota; Viridiplantae; Streptophyta; Magnoliopsida; Fabales; Fabaceae
Description: rRNA 5_8S_rRNA
Rfam family: 5.8S ribosomal RNA
About the family: 5.8S ribosomal RNA (5.8S rRNA) is a component of the large subunit of the eukaryotic ribosome.
Source: RNAcentral
GACUCUCGGCACGGAUAUCUCGGCUCUUGCAUCGAUGAAGAACGUAGCGAAAUGCGAUACUUGGUGUGAAUUGCAGAAUCCCGUGAACCAUCGAGUCUUUGAACGCAGUUGCGCCCGAAGCCAUUAGGCCGAGGGCACGCCUGCCUGGGUGUCA